RNAcentral lists this ribosomal RNA (503 nucleotides) under uncultured bacterium. Its description in RNAcentral is "partial 16S ribosomal RNA". It matches the Rfam family "Bacterial small subunit ribosomal RNA", at positions 30 to 523 of the family's 1533-position model. The record is from RNAcentral.
AUUGAACGCUGGCGGCAGGCUUAACACAUGCAAGUCGAGCGGGGUGAUGGUGCUUGCACUAUCACUUAGCGGCGGACGGGUGAGUAAUGCUUAGGAAUCUGCCUAUUAGUGGGGGACAACAUCUCGAAAGGGAUGCUAAUACCGCAUACGUCCUACGGGAGAAGGCAGGGGAUCACUUGUGACCUUGCGCUAAUAGAUGAGCCUAAGUCGGAUUAGCUAGUUGGUGGGGUAAAGGCCUACCAAGGCGACGAUCUGUAGCGCGUCUGAGAGGAUGAUCCGCCACACUGGGACUGAGACACGGCCCAGACUCCUACGGGAGGCAGCAGUGGGGAAUAUUGGACAAUGGGGGGAACCCUGAUCCAGCCAUGCCGCGUGUGUGAAGAAGGCCUUAUGGUUGUAAAGCACUUUAAGCGAGGAGGAGGCUCUUUUGGUUAAUACCCAAGAUGAGUGGACGUUACUCGCAGAAUAAGCACCGGCUAACUCUGUGCCAGCAGCCGCCGUAA